Portunus trituberculatus (swimming crab) is the source of this 2217-nucleotide long non-coding RNA. RefSeq lists it as uncharacterized. The transcript is spliced from 2 exons. The record is from RefSeq and is a predicted model, not a curated record. Lineage: Eukaryota; Metazoa; Arthropoda; Malacostraca; Decapoda; Portunidae.
GGCUGGGACGGGCUGAGAGGGCUUGGGAGGGGUUUUAAAGUGCUAGGAAGGACUGGGAGAGACUGAGAAGGACUGGGAGAGGCCAAGAAGGAUGAGGAAGGACUGGGAAGUGACUGGGAAGGGGCUGGAAUGGAAGUGACUGGGAAGAGCUGGGAAGAGCUGGAAGAGGCUGGGAACAACUGGGAACAACUGAGAAAGGCUGGGAGGGACUGAGUGGCUGGUCCUGGCAAGCCUUUGUUUUAGGACAUCUCAACAAGUGAACAGUAUAAAAGGGAAUGUUAAAAAGGGAAGGAUAGUUUAAAAAUUGUCUUAUGGAUUAAUUUGUAUACUGUACCUCUUGGUUUUUGCAUUUUGUGUUCUAUUUAUGUUUGCAAUUAAUGUGUUUAUGGGUCACAGUGGCUACAUUGGACCAAUCUUCAUAAACACUCAAUAUUCAAGACAGUAAUAUUAUACAGUAAAGAUUAAGUAUAUUUUUGUUUGGGUCAGCUUUCAUUAAACAGUAAGACAUAAACACAGUAGAGAAUUGAUAGUCUGUAAAGGAACACUGUGCAGAUUAGUACAGAUCAGGUGGUGCCAGCAAGUAAGCUUAGAAACUUUAUGUCCUGGUUAUCAAGGAGGACAGCAGAAAUAAGGUUAGUAUUCUCAACACUUCUGUGCUUCACCUCCAUUAUUUCAAAAGGCUUUAUCUAAAUUUCCACAAAGUAUUUAGUGUGUUUUUAUUUUUCUAGAGGCAGAGUGACAAGAUUUCUACACUAUUAACUGGAGACACACUUGAAAACUCUGCUAAUUAUUUCUGUGACCUUAGAAAAUAGUCAUGGUGAGAGAGCAGAGCAUUUUUAAGGAAGUUUUAUGGUUCUAGAGGCAGAGUGACAAGAUUUCUACAUUAUUAACUGGAGAAACGCUCUUGAAAACCCCGCUAGUCAUUUCUGUGGCCUUAGAAAAAAGUUGAGGUGAAAGAACAAAGCGUUUCAGAAUACCGACCUCAGUAGUAAACAUACACACUUCAUGCUAGCACCCAACACUCACACCCAGGUCAGAGGAGGGUAUAACGUGACCUAACAUGCACGACACCAGGCAAAACAGGUCAGGUCAGCGGAAAAUAAAGAAGACGAGAUAAAACAUGACCACGUCCCUCUUAGAAUGGAAAUAAAGGAAUGGGAAAAAAAAAGAAAAGGGACAAGCUAGAUUGUAAGAAGAUUGAAAAAAAGAUAUUUGGUAACUGAAAAAAGAUUAAGGUUAGACGAAGCACAUUAGGUUGAAUAAAACUUGGAAAAGAAGACAAAAGUGAAAGACAAAGAUUGAAAAAAAGACUUGCUACAUUAAAGAAAGGUUGAAAGAAACUUGUUAGAUGUAAUGAAGGUUGGAAGAGACAUCAGGAUACAGAAAGAUUGAAAAAGACAUGAGAAGCUUGAAAAAGGUAUAUUGAGGAAGACAGUGAAAAAGAAUGAUGAAAAAAAUUAUAACAUGAGAAAAGUUGAAAAGAACUUACAUGUAAUGAAAUUUGGAAGACACACAUCAGGUUAUAGAAAGAUUGAAAAAGACAUGGGAAGCUUGAAAAGGCAUACUAAAAAGACAUACAAAGUGAAAAAGAAUGAUGAAAGGACUUACUACAUUAAAGAAAGGCUGAAAGAAACUUGUUAGAUGUAACGAAGGUUAAAACACACAUCAGGUUAUAGAAAAAUUGAAAAAGACAUGGGAAACUUGAAAAAGGCAGAUUGAAAAGACAUACAGAGUGAAAAAGAAUGAUGAAAGAACUUACAUUAAAGAAAGCUUGAAAGAAACCAGUUAGAUGUAAUGAAGGUUGGAAAAGACACAUCAGAUUAUAGAAAGAUUGAAAAAGACAUGGGAAGCUUGAAAAAGGCACAUUUAAAAGACAUACACGGUGAAAAAUAAGAUUGAAAAGACUUGCUACGUAAAAGAAAGACUGAAAAGAACUUAGACGUAAUGAAGGUUAACACACAUCAGGUUAUAGAAAGAUUGAAAAGACUUGGGAAGGUUGAAAAAGGCAUAUUAAAAAGACAUUGAAAAAGGCAUAUUAAAAAGACAUACACGGUCAAAAAAGGCUGAAAAGACUUGCUAAAUUAAUGAAAGGCUGAAAGAACAUAGAUGUAACAAAGGUUGCAAAACACACUCCAGGUUAUAGCAAGACUGAAGAAGACAUGGGAAGGUUGAAAAAGGGUAUUAAAUUACAGAAAGGUUACAGAGUGUUUACAAAUA